Brassica napus (rape) is the source of this 4008-nucleotide long non-coding RNA. RefSeq lists it as uncharacterized. The record is from RefSeq and is a predicted model, not a curated record. Lineage: Eukaryota; Viridiplantae; Streptophyta; Magnoliopsida; Brassicales; Brassicaceae. The transcript is spliced from 2 exons.
UUGUUUGAUGUUUGGUACUUUGCGUCUAUUUUUUCCCCAUAGUUUUGGAUAUCUUUUUGGUAUUUAAAUUAUUUUACUACUCUUUUAGAGUUUUUAAAUUGAGAAAUUCCUUACGAUAACUUUUUUUAUCUUAUUUUUACAAAAAUAGCCUCCAAUGAAAAAAAUGAACAAAAUAAGUUUUAUUAAAAAGCAAAAAUACAUUUUUACCGUAUGAUAAACUAAUUUAGACUUAAGGUUUUAGUGUUAAGAGGUGAUAGUUUGGAGAUAAGAUUUUGAGUUUUUUAAAAUAAAAAAUAAAUAUUAAAAAUUUCAAAAUAAAAAAGAUCAUUUUGGUUAUUUUCUUCCUUAUUUUUGUGACAAUAACUUAAAAAAAAUAUUUAAGAAAAUCGCCUUUUUAAAUUUAUGCAAAUUUUGUAUAUAUUUCGGAUUUACGUGUAUAUUUUCAGUAUAUAAUAAUAAAUAUCUCUGAAUCAAACAAAUAACAAAGUGAUAUUUAUUCCAUAAAUAUCCCAAACAACCAUUUCUUUAUUUUUUUUACUUAACGUUGAAAACUAAUAAAAACAUAAUUGAUUUAUAUGAUAGUAAAUAGAUAGAAACUAAAGAUAAAGACAAUUGGUACAACCCAACUAAUGGACCCUUUAUCACACAUGGUAUACACUUCUCACUAGCUAUUCCGACAUGAUUUAAUUGUAAGGAAAUCUUAUGUCUCAGAAACUGAUGGUGAACCAGUGACGGUACUAUAUCGGCAUCCGAAGUAUCAUCUCUCGCCUCCCUUGACUCACCAUCACAACCUUAAUAUCAAUGCUCAAGACUUGAUUCCCAUCACUACUAUUGCUGAUGGUGUUGAAUGUUGAUGGGGUUAUCUCAGUUUCGGCUAAAACUAUAAACGAAAGCAACCAGCAACAUUUACUCCAGCUGUGGUAGAUGAUGUUGAAGCUACGCCUUCUAUGGAAAAUACAACGUCUCUAUUUCUUUCUCAGGAGUGUGGAUGAAGCCUUUGAUAUUGGAACCCUUCACUUGAGACUCCUGUUCCCAAGGUUCAUUCUUGAUCAUCUGACAUUCUUCAUCCGAAGUUGAAGGAAGAUGAAAAUCCUGUGGUUUCCUUAGGAAGCAAAAAUGGAUCAAAAGCCUAUAUUCAGAUCCGACCCUGAGAGGAAGCAUGGCUCCCAGCCCUCAAGAAUAUAAAUUAAUUUUGGCCAUAAUUUUGCAAAAGUCUCUUUAAUUUAGUGGUGUUACUAAUGUAUAUCUAAGCUCUGCAGCCUUAGUUCAAACCCAGUAUGCUACUCUCAGCCUUUUUUUUUCUCAGUAAGCUUGUAGUCUUCAAAAAGCCAGGACCAGUAUUGGCCAUUAUUCUACAUUGCACUACUUCACCAACUUAUUUGGAAGACAGCACAACAAUGGUGGUCAUUCCAAACCAUAUGGUCUUGAAAACAAAAAGAGUAUGUGAUCUAACAGUGUUAUCGUUUCUCCAUUCCAUUGGGAGGUCUCACUCACGCUGUAAUAAACUGGAUGUGGAGUAAUAAGUGUGGAAAUUUGUCCCGAAAAUACGGAGUUUUUUUGUUUCAUUAUCUCGAAUGAAGAGUCAACUAGAACUUGGGUUUUAGGUAGAGGAUUAUGGCACACACUGUUCUCAUCUAUAUAUAGAAUUUUUUCUCUUUUUGUUGAUAUGUGUCUUCAAUUAAUCUUUAUUUUUACAUUUUAAGUCUUUUUUUAUUUAGAUUACUACAAGUUGGCACAACACUUUUUAAUUGUGCACUUUUAUACUUGGAUUGGUCCCAAAAUUUUUAAUCGUGACCUUAACCCCUAAUUCACACAAAUCACUAAUGCACACAAAUAUGACUAUUAAAUACAACUCGGAGCACUAAAAUGAUCAAAAAUAUAAGACGUCACAUGCACCCUCCCAUCUUUCUCUAUCUCUAGAUUAGGAACUACAAUCAUUCUCCAUAGAUCUAGAUGAUCACCGACUUUUUUCAAGAGAAAAAAGUCUAGAAAUUAUCUAAAUAGUUGUGUCUCUAUUUUUCUAUCUGAUUAAUGUCUUGAAAUUGAAUUUAUUUAUCGAAUCCACUGUAAAUGUAAAAUCCGAUUUAAAAUAAAUACCAGAUAAUUUCACAGGAGAAGAAAACAGAAAGAACAAGAGCACAUAAGUGAGUCUUUUCUGGUAAUGGUAAGAAGUUGAUACACUAAAAAUGAAUCUUAUGCUACUGUCAAGUUAACAGUCUUGUUGUAAUAUGUUUAGAUUUAAUUCCAGAGGACGAGUUCACACUUUAUCCUAUUGGUUCAAUAUUAAGCUAAAACAAUGAGUGAGUUUUAUAAUUGUUUGAAGCGUAGAAAGCAAGUAACAAGUAAUUUAAGGGGUUUCUCGAGGAUGAUAAGCGAGCUAGCCUAGAAUGAUUGAACGGAUUACAAGGGUGCGAGCCAAACAACUAUUCAAGCUAGUCUAGAACUCGGGUAGCAAGGAAUAUCAGCCCACUGUUGUGGUGCUUCUCCUUUUAUCAAUCGAUCUCAGUACUUAAACUCUCGUUUGGAUUGAGAUACGAUGAUAAACAUUAAGAAAUGACCCGAUCUGUUCACAAGACACUUAUACCCAUGGGGUAAACUAAUCUAGACUUAGGAUUUAGAGUUGAGGGGUGGGGUAGGUUUUUGGAAUGUGAAAUUUAGGAUUCUAAUAAAUAUAUAAAUAAAUACUUAAAAAUAUAAAAAAACUUUAGAAAAUAGUUUCAAACAUAAUUUUCGAUUUUCAAAAGGAAUUUUUGAAAAAACAAUAAAAAAAAAAUUUCGAAAAAAAAAUUCAAAAUUUUUUUUAUAAAAAGUUCGAAUUUGAAAAAAUAUAAUUCAAAAACAUUAAAUUUUUUAUUUUUUAUUUUUAUUUUAUUUAAAUAAUAAUUUAUUAUAUAUAUAUAUAUAACAAGGGUAUAAAAGUCUUUUGUACUUAACGAAAAAUGUAUUUUUGAAAAUGUUCAUUUAGUGGUGGUGAAGAUGAAAAGUGGUACCAUGAAAGUGGUAAACAUAAAAUUUCCCCUUUAUUAUAACUAAUCUUCCAAAAUGAUCAAUUGAAAACUUAAUUUAAUUUACAAAAGUCAGAUUAAAUUAAUGUAAGAUAUAAUUAAAUUUUGUGAUUAGAAUAAUAUUUGCAGAUUUGUAUAUUUUGUAACAUUUUUGUGAUUACAACACGUCAAAAGAAUGAGAAAGGCAUUUGAUUCUUUAUGACCACUCAACUUUUGAAAAAUCAUAAGAGGCGGUGAGAACUUUAGGUCGUUCGUGGAAAUCGAGUCACUCUUCCCAUUAGAAUUAGAUAAGCACAUCUCUCCCUCUUUUCUGCUAUUCAUCAUCCUAAUUUUCAGAUCUCAAAAAGAACUCUUACAAUAUUGCAAGAGAUAGAUUCAUAUGGAUGAUCCUCAGGUUCCUCCAGUUCAUAUAGAUGAUCCUCAGGUUCCUCCAGUUACAUCUAAAGUUUCGAGUAUUCCUCUUCUUGGUUGCAUCAUAGAGUUUCUUGUUCAUCUAUGUACGUUUUCCAGUACAACCUUUUCUGACGAACAAGAGAAAAAAUUCAUUGAUGUGGCGGUCGAAGAAAACCGUGCAGCUCAUAAGCACUUUAGGCAACACAAGUGUGCUAAACUCAAUUAGCCUUAAUAUUAAGUAUUUCUUACUAUAUAUAUAUGUAUAUGAAUAUAUAAGAUCUGAUGUGGUAAUAGUUGCCUUACAUAAAGAUUUUUCUAUGAUAUAUUAAUAUGGUUCUACAUGAAUAAAUAUUAUUUUUCAGUUCAUACUAUGUGAAAUUUUUCAUUUGGAGCAAGAAAAGUUGUCAGCCUUUACCAGGAAUAUCCCAGCUAUGCAUCUACGAAUCGUAGCAGCUCACACUGCUUCGUCCAAGAUCUGAUGGCAAGAAUGGAGCUGUACUUUAGUCCACAUGAGAAUGGAGAAUAUACUACUUGUAUGUGUGUGUGUGUGACUCGCAUAGUGUGAGUAUGUUCCACCAUUAUUUCAUUAAUAAAUUUUUGGUUAUAGCCA